GAAUCGUUCCCCUGGUUUUGCAUUAUGUGACCAAAACCAUCCACCUUCCAAUAUUUAUGAUUGUUAUGUACUUUGUCUUGGCUAUUGGUAGCGGAAUCUCUCUCCUUCUUUCAGCUUUUAAUUUAGUUAAAGAUUGGAUAAAGGCUUCAGCACCUGAGGAGGAGGUUGCCCCACCUGAGCAGGAACUCCCACAGUUCCCAGGUGCGCCUGAGCCAUGAUUUCAAGUUGCUGAUGCUGUCAUUGUUAGGGGAUGUGUCAACUAGCUAAAGGUUUAAUUUGCAGAAGUUUAGUUGAUGUAGUGUAAGAAUGCUUUAUUUGCUGAAGUUUAAGCGUAAGAAUGUAUAAUUUGCUGAAGUUUAAGCGUAAGAAUGUUUAAUUUGCUGAAGUUUAAUUAACGUGCAUGGUGUAAGAUGUUUUAUUUG
Molecule: long non-coding RNA, 422 nt
Organism: Nicotiana attenuata
Lineage: Eukaryota; Viridiplantae; Streptophyta; Magnoliopsida; Solanales; Solanaceae
Exons: 2
Source: RefSeq, a predicted model, not a curated record